Alligator mississippiensis (American alligator) is the source of this 1715-nucleotide long non-coding RNA. RefSeq lists it as uncharacterized. The transcript has 3 exons. The record is from RefSeq and is a predicted model, not a curated record. Lineage: Eukaryota; Metazoa; Chordata; Crocodylia; Alligatoridae.
GAUGGCAGGAGAACUGCAUCAGAGAGACCAACUGGCGGCUUCGGCAGUGGUGUCUCGAGGCAGGCUUCGGAUUCUUGGACAAUGACCCGCACAUCACGACGAGGGACAUGCUCAGCUGGGAUGGGCUUCACCUGUCCCCCAAAGAGCCUGCCACCUUGUCAUAGAAGGAAAGCCUCAGGAGCCAGGAACAGAGAGGAGAGGAAGGUACUGGGCACAUGUGUGCCCCCUUACCUGACCUGAGGUGGAGGUGGAAGCAGCAGUGGAGCCAGCAGUGGGGGCAGUAACAGCUGUUCCCCCAAAGGGCCAAGAACCAAAGGGAGAAGAACCCCAGGAGGGUGCCCUCCACAGCGGAAUGGCAGACAGUGCCCUCCAGAGCCAGGGCUGCUGGCAUCAGUGCAGUACCAGUUCCCCCGUCCAGCUGGAGAAUAGGUAUGGGGCCCUGGCAGUACUGGAGGAAGAGGAAGGAGAGGAGGACACCUCUGGAGAGGGGGCCAGUCUACAUGAAGAACAGGCUGAAGGAGGCAACCUGAACCUGAAGAAGAGACGCCGGGUACUCAUCAUAGGCAACUCUAUCCUAAGAGGUUCAGAGGGUCCUAUUGUAGCAAAACCCCUAGUUUUUCUUUUUUAAAACACAUAUAUGCAUUCCCUUCCCUUCCCCAACUCUUUCUGACUUUUUCUCUCCCUCUAUAUUCCCUAUAGACAAGCAUAAAUGAGCCCAGAUUUAGGAUAAGCUUUAACAUUUUUAUUUUAGUAGCAAGUUUUUGGUUUUGGAUAUCUGCUGUUUUAUAUUGUAUAAUUAUUAGGUUUGUAUUGAUUUUUACUGUUGUAUAUUGUAUUAUUACCAUUUUUGUAUUUUUUUUUUUAUUGUUUUAUAUGGAUACUGUAUGGUUUAAGCCUGUGUUUGUAAGUGAACCAGUCAUGUCAAGUUUCCAUUUUAUGUGUCAAACCUCCACCUUCUGUCCUCUACCCAGGCAUCCUGUUUUGCAACUAUAUGAUUCAUUGUACCCCUCCCAUGUAAAUUGGUUCCUGGAUGAAUGAGAAUGAUUGGGAAUGAUUGAAAUACAAUGGUAGCAGGCCUCUACUUAAUGGCCUGUAAUGACUGGGCCAUCACCUCGCAUUGAUUCAUCCAGGAACCAUGGACCUCACCCAGGAACAGAGACAAGAUCCCAUCAUUUGAAAGACAGAAGACCCUGCAGAACCAGCAAAUCUGCCAUUGCACUCCACCAUUACAGACACCCAAAACUGCACAUUCCUGCAUGGAGCACACAUGCUCAGUACUCCAGGGGCUGACCCUUGCCUGGGCAUGCCUCCCUUCACUAGGAUCACACAAGGUCUGCCCCUAUAAAAAGGGGCAGUGAAGACAGGCGCAGUGGAAAUGCCAUUUCCAUCCCGACCAGACCAGCUUCACAUCAGGUAUCCAUCCCAGAGGCCCUGCCUGUGACCCCCCUGGACAACAACAAGCUGAAGGAGACCCCAACUUGCCAUCAAAGAUCAACUUCCAGCCUGGUAUAGGUAGAUAUUACUUGCACACCUCCUCCAACAAUUUGGACUCUCUCUCUCUCUCUGUCUCUCUCUUUCUCCUCCUGGACUUCAGAGGACUUCAGGCCCUGCACCAAGCUUCUCUAACCCCUGCUGCCAUUGUGGGUGUGGGUGUGGGUGUGGGUGUGGGUGCAAGGGAACCAAUAAGACAUUGUGUCACUAUCUCCCCUGUUCAA